Neofelis nebulosa (Clouded leopard) is the source of this 1294-nucleotide long non-coding RNA. RefSeq lists it as uncharacterized. The record is from RefSeq and is a predicted model, not a curated record. The transcript is spliced from 2 exons. NCBI's taxonomy places the organism in Eukaryota, Metazoa, Chordata, Mammalia, Carnivora, Felidae.
CUGGCCGUGAAGGAUUUUCCCCUGUGACUUUGUCUGUUCGCUUCCUCCUCUUCCUGAGGUUUUGUGCCCGGCCCGGACAUCAUCCCCCUCGCUCAGUUUUAGCCGGGACCUUCCUGGGCGAGGAUGAGACGCCCGCUCCGGCCAGCUCAGCCGCCAGAAUAAUCCGUACAGUGGACCCGCCACUUCUUCUGGGCUCAGAGGCCUUCCAUCCAUUCCCUCUCUUCAAUCUUUCAGCAUCACAUUUGGGGUCGGCAAACUCCUGCCGUAAGGGGCCAGAGAGGACCUGUUUCCAGCUCUGGUGGCCACCAGGUCUCCGUCGCAGCCCUGAACAACAUGAGGUGCCGCGUUGCCUGGCUGAUGAGGAAGCUGAGGCUCACAGAGAGGCCAGGUGCCCAAGGUCACGGGCCAGGAUUGCACCAAGUUCAGAGCCUUGACCUCCACGUCCUACGGGCAUCAAACGGACACAGGUCUCUCAGAAAUCCACACAGAUGCCACCUCGGUCUGUAUGGGGAGAACCCUCUUGCCCCCCACCCCACCACCAUGUCCCCAUCUCCGGCCAGGGGGGUGGCUUUUCCCGUCUGCUGGGGAGACGGUGCGGGGAAUCUGUCGCUUGCCUUGCUCUCUAUCUGCCGGGGGCUUCUCUGCUGAGGGGAGGGGGUGCCGCAGAAGCCCAGGGCUUGCCCUCUGUCUGGCACCUGCACCCCCCACUCCCCAGCUCCCUGUGUCCCCUCCCAUCUUCUCCAGCCCUCGGCCCCUCUCUCUGAGAACCACAGACACUCAUUGAUCCAGACGCUUGAAAACAUGUGGUCAGAGCUGUGGACAAGGGAUCCACGGUGCGUCACGCCUUGUCCCCCACCGGCUGGGUGUGGGAUCCUCGAUUCAUUAUCAGACCUCCCCUGGGCACACACCAUGUGCCAGGCUCCGGGCCAGAAGCGGACGUGAACAAGAGGGCUCAGCGCUAAACCAGAAGGCGGGGGACCGAGGCCCGGCUGGGCGGAGAAGCCAACAUCUCAGACCCACGGGGAGCCAGACGAAGGAGGCUGUGCGUAGCAUGACUCAAGGAGAGCAUUCCUGCACCUCCUGGAAGAGGCGGCUGUGGCACGAGGCAACAUUCCAACAGGCAGCAGAGCGGGGAGACACCCUGCAGCAUUUGAAGGGCCUGGAAUGCCAAGGAGAAAAACCUGAAGGCCUUGGCAUGAGCCUGACACCAUGUGGGUCUGGGUCGGGGCCCUGCCUCUUGCAAGCUGGAUGGCUUUGGGUCACAGUCAGCACUCAAUAAAGAAUACUGCUGUUA